GGUAAUUCACAUUAUUCAGUACCCAACAUACCAGUGGAACCAAGGGGAAGGUAUCCAAACUCUAUGGAUAUCUACCAUCCAUCAAGGCCAGAAGACAGUUAUGGCGACUUUCAGCGUCAGAGGCGUGAUGAUUAUGGAAAAGCCUAUAACCGAUACUAAAUGGGUAGAUUGGAGUUUCUUUUUGGUGAGUUGUUUUAACCUUUUGGCAAGCUGAGAGCACUGAGUUUCAUUUUGUUUCACCUAAAGCAUUGGCUCUGCCAUUUUUAGGUGGAUGUGCCCUUCUCGUCAUAAAAUGUGUUCUUUUAAUGGCUAUAACCGAUACUAAAUGGGUGGAUUGGAGUUUCUUUUUGGUGAGUUGUUUUAACCUUUUGGCAAGCUGAGAGCACUGAGUUUCAUUUUGUUUCACCUAAAGCAUUGGCUCUGCCAUUUUUAGGUGGAUGUGCCCUUCUCGUCAUAAAAUGUGUUCUUUUAAUGGUAUAUUUACGGAGGUUCUGAAAGUCAAUAUUUGGAAUGGAGAAAAUGUUGGAUAGGGUGGCAGAUGAUUGAUUUUUAUACAAGGUUUGUAGCUUUUCUUUACUUAGAUGCAUUUAAUUAAAUUAGCACUUCAAAAC
Molecule: long non-coding RNA, 611 nt
Filed under: Nicotiana benthamiana
Lineage: Eukaryota; Viridiplantae; Streptophyta; Magnoliopsida; Solanales; Solanaceae
Description: long non-coding RNA (NBEN_LNC017716)
Source: RNAcentral